Molecule: non-coding RNA, 479 nt
Organism: Sturnus vulgaris (Common starling)
Lineage: Eukaryota; Metazoa; Chordata; Aves; Passeriformes; Sturnidae
Source: RefSeq, a predicted model, not a curated record
AGUGACUGAAAAGGAAAAAAAGACAAAGCCUUAAGAACACCUCCUACAGCAAAACCAACAGAAACUGCACGCUACCCCAGGCUUCCUCUGGAGUUCUGCAAACCUUAAAUUGUAUAUCACUACUUUUGUCUGGGAAAAGCCUUAAGUUAUUAAGUAAAAAUAUUGCUCUGCUGGACAGCCUUCUAAGUGCUUCCAGACAAAUUCCCCAAGGGAAGAAGGAAAAAAAAAAAAAAAAAAAAAAUCAACUAUACACCACCACAACCAAACGACACACCAAAACUAUUACUGGUUUGAAUUAAAACAAGCGCCUCACCUGCUUCGAGGCCAUACAACAGAGCGGGACCUGGAACGUGACCUGGACCUAGAUCUGGAAAUAAAAAAGAACUACUAUCACAUGCUUCAUAAAGAGAACCAGAGCGGGACCUACGGGGUGAGAAUGAUCUGUAUCUACGAGGAGACAUCGACCUGGACCUGCGGUA